Non-coding RNA from Rattus norvegicus (Norway rat), 593 nucleotides. The record is from RefSeq and is a predicted model, not a curated record. NCBI's taxonomy places the organism in Eukaryota, Metazoa, Chordata, Mammalia, Rodentia, Muridae.
CUUCUCUGUACAAUAUAGAGCACUGUAGAAAACUACAGCCAAUAAAAAUGCAAAGACAUGGAUGUCAGUCAAUGGAUACAGAUUUCAGCAGAGUUGGAUAGAAAGGAUCUCCAGCCUCAUCACCAUGCCUGCCUUUAGAGUCAUCACCAAGACAAAUCAGCUUCCAAGAAGCUCCUCAGACACACAAGUCGGAAGAUGAUUGGGAAUUUUCAUAAAAGCGUAAAGGAUGCUAAGUACAAAUCCCAGAGAACCAGACAACAGAGAUCAUUGUUCUUUCUAGCUUCCUGCGAUAUCUGAAAAACUGAAUCCAAACAAAAGAACACAAGGAAAGUUGGCAUUGAAAAUUGCUAUCACGCUGAUGUGCAAGCAGAUAGAAAAACUAACAAGCAAGGAUGUCUUAGAAGUUUCCAGAACAUUGGACUUCUAUUACACAACCCUUUAGAAAAAUGAGUAAAUAUAAAUAAGCAAACAAAAAAGGUGUUUAAGGAGACCAAAUGAAUCAUUCACUAUACACUAAAUUAGAUUAUUGUAGAAAUGGUCAUUAGGAAAUCAAACUCUAAAGAUAAAUUGGUAAAUCUAUUAAAAUAUAUACA